Molecule: ribosomal RNA, 460 nt
Filed under: uncultured bacterium
Lineage: Bacteria
Description: partial 16S ribosomal RNA
Rfam family: Bacterial small subunit ribosomal RNA
Source: RNAcentral
CCUACGGGUGGCAGCAGUGAGGAAUAUUGGUCAAUGGCCGGAAGGCUGAACCAGCCAAGUCGCGUGAGGGAAGAAGGCCCUAUGGGUUGUAAACCUCUUUUGUCAGGGAGCAAAGGCGUCCACGUGUGGACGAGAGGAGAGAACCUGAAGAAAAAGCAUCGGCUAACACCGUGCCAGCAGCCGCGGUAUUACGGAGGAUGCGAGCGUUAUCCGGAUUUAGUGGGUUAAAGGGGUGCGAAGGCGGGCUGUAAGGUCAGCGGUAAAAUUUCGGGGCUCAACCCCGUCGUGCCGUGGAAACUGGGGCGCUUGAGUGCGUGAGAGGUAAGCGGAAUGCGUGGUGUAGCGGUGAAAGGCAUAGAGAUCACGCAGAACGCCGAUUGCGAAGGCAGCUUACCGGCGCUCAACUGACGCUGAGGCACGAAAGUGCGGGUAUCGAACAGGAUUAGAGACCCGUGUAGUC